GGGUCCAUAGCUCAGUGGUAGAGCAAUUGACUGUAGAUCAAUAGGUCAUCGUUUCGAACCCGGUUGGGCCCU
Triticum aestivum (bread wheat) is the source of this 72-nucleotide non-coding RNA. NCBI's taxonomy places the organism in Eukaryota, Viridiplantae, Streptophyta, Magnoliopsida, Poales, Poaceae. The record is from Rfam.